This 1517-nucleotide long non-coding RNA is filed under the name Populus trichocarpa (black cottonwood). Its description in RNAcentral is "long non-coding RNA (PTRI_LNC002184)". The record is from RNAcentral. Lineage: Eukaryota; Viridiplantae; Streptophyta; Magnoliopsida; Malpighiales; Salicaceae.
GAGAUUGAUCAUCACUUGUAUGAAUUCGGGUGCGUGGAAUACCAUGUUCAGGUUAGUCUAUUGCACUCUUAGCAUGAUAAUUACAGAUAACUUAUGUCAACACCAACAGUUGGAAUGACUCAGCAUCUGGAAAUCUGCAGUUGUGGAAAUAAUUGAGAUUAAUGGCUGUGUGCAUGCUAAAAAAGGACAUGCCUACUAUCUGUCAAUUUGAGCUAUCCUGACAUAUAUAGGCUUUCAACAAAAUGUUGAGAAUUAUUCUGGUAAUCAUCCUGUAAUGUUCACAGUCUUCUGCAGCUGAUCCACAAAAUAACUACCUGUCAUUAUCAACUCCACUACUGUCCCAGGGAGCCCUGCUAUCAUGUGGUUUGUCAUCGUACACUACGCAGAUGGUAAAGCAAGUUUGCUCGGAUGCUGUGGAGAUUGUUGAACCUGCAAAAGAAGGAUAUCAGCUUACCCUAAAGCUAAAUCUUGCAAAGAUUCCACGUGGAAAAGGUUUGCUACUUCUCCAAAUCAUCGCGAUAACAAUAAUUAUAUAUAAAAAAACAAGAGCUUAUUGGUACUUUGUGGCACAUACUAGUGCUGUCUUGAAUUUAAGCAUGUUAUUCCUUCUAUUCACCUAAAAAUAGAGAGUGGUUUUCAAUAUAUUAUAAAAUCAGUACGGAAUAUACAGAGAACAUAGAUUCAAACUAUCAGUCUACAAAAGAAGAAAGAAAGCUUGAACGAGAAGAAAGUUGUGUAAAUUCUUUACACAAACAAGAGAUACAAGAACUCCAUGCAGUAAACCUGAGUUCAGGUGUUACAGCAAAGACAAAUUAACAGUACAAAGAAAAGUUCAACCACCCAAACUAGACAUUUUAAACCUGACAUUUUGAAUCUUUGAUCAACUACAGUACCAGAUCACUGUAGUACUUAGUUAGCUGUCCUCUUAAAUAACAGGUUUCCUGCUUCUGCCAGUUCCACCGUCCACAAUCUCAGAUUUGAAGACAUCCAUACCAAGUUUUCUGUGACACUGAGAGCAGGAAAUAAAGAGAUCAGCUGAUAAUACUCCUGAAAAGAGUCAACAACUCAGAAAAUAGUACCAUCUGUUUAGGUGGAGAGCUGAAAUAAUAAUAAGAGCUGAACAAAAUAUUUGAAAAAAGGACUUCUACUAAAUGUAGACAAAGCAUUCAACUCAAGAUCCUAAAACUAAUUAGAACUAGUGAAAAAGAAAUUUUAUGCUGAAUGACUUGUAAUUGAAGCCUGUGUAAUCUUCAAGAUUUGGAGCAUGAAAAUAAUAACAUCAUGAUCUUCCUUAUCCAAGCAUUUUGUAAGGAAUGAAAGGAUAACGAAGAAAAUCUUGAUAGGAAAUGUUUAUUUUUUUGUCCAUUUUCAUACCAUGCUGUGAAAUUUCUGCACUUCAUAAUCAUGCUGAUACAAAUGUUCCUUUCCAGACCCUUACAAAGUGAUUACGCAAAUUUCCUCAGUGCAAGCAGUUAUACUAUGUUCCCAGCUGAAAGAAAUGUUGAGAAAUGUCAAUU